RNAcentral lists this ribosomal RNA (440 nucleotides) under uncultured Bacillota bacterium. RNAcentral's name for it is "bacterial SSU rRNA". It matches the Rfam family "Bacterial small subunit ribosomal RNA", at positions 917 to 1359 of the family's 1533-position model. Lineage: Bacteria; Bacillati; Bacillota. The record is from RNAcentral.
GGGCCCGCACAAGCAGUGGAGUAUGUGGUUUAAUUCGAAGCAACGCGAAGAACCUUACCAGGUCUUGACAUCCUUGGAAUCCUUAAGAGAUUAGGGAGUGCCUUCGGGAGCCAAGAGACAGGUGGUGCAUGGUUGUCGUCAGCUCGUGUCGUGAGAUGUUGGGUUAAGUCCCGCAACGAGCGCAACCCUUAUUGUUAGUUGCCAUCAUUAAGUUGGGCACUCUAGCGAGACUGCCGUUGAUAAAACGGAGGAAGGUGGGGACGACGUCAAAUCAUCAUGCCCCUUAUGACCUGGGCUACACACGUACUACAAUGGCCGUUAACAAAGCGAAGCAAGACCGCGAGGUGGAGCAAAUCGCAAAAACGGUCCCAGUUCAGAUUGUAGGCUGAAACUCGCCUAUAUGAAGUUGGAAUUGCUAGUAAUCGCGAAUCAGCAUGUCG